This 536-nucleotide long non-coding RNA is filed under the name Carassius auratus (goldfish). Its description in RNAcentral is "lncRNA (ENSCARG00000035491.1)". Lineage: Eukaryota; Metazoa; Chordata; Actinopteri; Cypriniformes; Cyprinidae. The record is from RNAcentral.
AAAUAAUGCUAUAAGGAAUUAAAUGUUAAAAUUAUUGGGUGAAUAAAGAUUUAAGCUGAAUUUGAAUUGAAUUAACCAUUAUUAUUUAUUUCAGAUUUGUCUAUUUAAUGAACAUUCUUUAGUUGAACACCUUUGUUAUUCUUCUCUGUGUGGAUCUCAGUUAUUAAUCUUUUAUAAUCGUUAUUAAUCUCCUGUUGUUCUGGAUCAGAAGGACUGCAGCCUGAGUGAUACUCCCCAAAUACCUGAGUAAAGGCCACGCCCCUCCCCACCUCAUUAAUAAACUCCCAGGUCACUCAGUUGGGAGAGAGCACACCUGUCAGUCUCGGAUCAGAAGCUUUUUAGUCCCAAAGAGAGUCUGAUCCACACCUAGACCUUCAGCUGUCCCACAAGAGACGCCUCGCUCAGAAGAGACUGAAUGUGCCUGCUGCAGCAGAUGCAGAGAUGGAGUUCAUGGAGCAUUUAAUGCGAACCAAGAAAUCUCGGUUGGGCUUCUAAGAAUCAGACUCAAAAGAAGGAAUGCUGCAAGGCAAGUGACC